UACGGAAGGGGCAAGCGUUGUUCGGAAUCAUUGGGCGUAAAGGGCGCGUAGGUGGUUCUGUAUGUCUACCGUGAAAGCGUACGGCUCAACCGUAUUUUGUCGGUGGAAACUGCAGGACUUGAGGCUGGGAGGGGCUGGUGGAAUUCCCUGUGUAGCGGUGAAAUGCGUAGAGAUGGGGAGAACACUCGUGGCGAAGGCGGCCAGCUAGACCAGUUCUGACACUGAGGCGCGACAGCGUGGGGAGCAAACAGG
RNAcentral lists this ribosomal RNA (252 nucleotides) under uncultured bacterium. Its description in RNAcentral is "partial 16S ribosomal RNA". It matches the Rfam family "Bacterial small subunit ribosomal RNA", at positions 524 to 776 of the family's 1533-position model. The record is from RNAcentral.